GGUGUGUUCAUGGCAGGAGGGGAGAAGGCAGAUUUCUGAUCCGCAAUUUUAGUUUUGCUGUUUUUCCAAUAUUUCAAAAGUUUUCAUGAAGCUGGCAUUUCAACCCCAAACCCCUUUCUGUCACAGGCUUCAUCUUUGCAGACAUUGGGAGCUGUCAUUUCGCACUGCCCUGUGAUGUGGGUGACACUCAGCCGCUGUGACAGGUGCUGGAGAGAGCACACACUCUUCAGCAUGAUGGAGAAUUUUCUUCAGAGUUUUAUCUUUCAUUUGAUGAAACAAUCUAAAACAAAGAAAGUCCAUCCCAUGCAGAAUAAAUAUGUCACCAGACCUGUAUUCAUCUUCUGAUGCUGUUCAAGCAUUAAAGAUAUUGCGACUAAUGGACAAGCCAGCCACUUCAGAUGGAAGAUUUGCUGUAGUACCAUCCUGGGAUCAGGUCUGCAUGGUGCACUGUGGGAGCCCACAGGGUGUGUGUUCACAGUGUUUCUUGGAUUAGACACCUUGGUAUGGCCUGUGGAGAGAUGUUCAUAGUCUGCUGUUCACACAAUCUGUCUGCUACAGCUGAGCUGCCCUUUGCCAACUGGCCUAAAGACAGGAUGGAUAGAUUUAGAUCCACACGUUGCAGCUUCCUAUUUGUUCUUGGUACUUUUUUAGCUCAUGAGUAAAGUCGUUAUCAUCAUCAUUAUUGUUAAUUUCACAAUUUUUUUAUUAAUCUGUUUUGUAGUGCUCAAAAGGUUGCAUUGCAGCUCUGUUUAAGGAAUAAUUUAACUUUGUCUGCUUGAGUGAUAUGUGUCAAUUAAAAUAUCAGUUAAAUGAAUGUCUUUAA
This is a non-coding RNA of Oryzias latipes (Japanese medaka), 823 nucleotides long. NCBI's taxonomy places the organism in Eukaryota, Metazoa, Chordata, Actinopteri, Beloniformes, Adrianichthyidae. The record is from RefSeq and is a predicted model, not a curated record.